This 576-nucleotide ribosomal RNA is filed under the name uncultured bacterium. RNAcentral's name for it is "bacterial SSU rRNA". It matches the Rfam family "Bacterial small subunit ribosomal RNA", at positions 58 to 648 of the family's 1533-position model. The record is from RNAcentral.
CAAGUCGAACGAGCGAGAGAGAGCUUGCUUUCUCGAGCGAGUGGCGAACGGGUGAGUAACGCGUGAGGAACCUGCCUCAAAGAGGGGGACAACAGUUGGAAACGACUGCUAAUACCGCAUAAGCCCACAGGUCGGCAUCGACCAGAGGGAAAAGGAGCAAUCCGCUUUGAGAUGGCCUCGCGUCCGAUUAGCUAGUUGGUGAGGUAACGGCCCACCAAGGCAACGAUCGGUAGCCGGACUGAGAGGUUGAACGGCCACAUUGGGACUGAGACACGGCCCAGACUCCUACGGGAGGCAGCAGUGGGGAAUAUUGCACAAUGGGGGAAACCCUGAUGCAGCGACGCCGCGUGGAGGAAGAAGGUCUUCGGAUUGUAAACUCCUGUUGUUGAGGAAGAUAAUGACGGUACUCAACAAGGAAGUGACGGCUAACUACGUGCCAGCAGCCGCGGUAAAACGUAGGUCACAAGCGUUGUCCGGAAUUACUGGGUGUAAAGGGAGCGCAGGCGGGAAGACAAGUUGGAAGUGAAAUCUAUGGGCUCAACCCAUAAACUGCUUUCAAACUGUUUUUCUUGAGUA